AGGCAACGAUAAAUGUUUGUGUGGAGUAUAGCUUAUACUUCUAGAAAAACUAAAUUGCGUGGCGGCUAAGUAACUAUAUAGAGGGGUAUGUUUUAUAAAUCGAAUUUACGCGAGUAUCUUAUCUAAUCUUGAAUUAUUUCAUUUUACACACCGCCGUCGGAAGGUCAAAUUAUUAGAUUUGUCCCUUUUCUUAUUAUAAGAAAUAAGUCAGGUCAACGUGUAGAUAAUGGUUAGGUCAAAUUGUAUCUCAUUAAUAUUAUUAUGUCAUUAUUUAAUUUUAAAUAAUAUAAUGUAAUUGAAUUUAUAAG
RNAcentral lists this ribosomal RNA (308 nucleotides) under Paraclisis giganticola. RNAcentral describes it as "partial 12S ribosomal RNA". Lineage: Eukaryota; Metazoa; Arthropoda; Insecta; Psocodea; Philopteridae. The record is from RNAcentral.